Molecule: long non-coding RNA, 390 nt
Organism: Sarcophilus harrisii (Tasmanian devil)
Lineage: Eukaryota; Metazoa; Chordata; Mammalia; Dasyuromorphia; Dasyuridae
Exons: 4
Source: RefSeq, a predicted model, not a curated record
CUGUGAGAACUCAGGCAAUGUUCUGUCUACUCUCUGUCAUCUUGGCUCCAUCCCAAUCCCCUUUUCUUGUUGGCGAGUUCCUCCCAGGAGCCUCCAUUUUGAGGUAAAAGAGACCUCUAUCUGCGUCAUUUCUAAGCUAGAUUUGAUCACUGAAGGACAUUGCUUCAGUCAGGCUGAAACCAAGGAAAGACCUUAGUUUACAAAAGCCAAAAUAUCCCAUUGCAUCCAGGGCCAUCUCUAAUCAUCCUGCCUUCUAUCUUGAUCCAGAUGGUUCCAGAGGAGAAGGUUUCCUGAUUGAUCCAAGGAGCAAAUGUGGUCAGCCCUGUUUUGCAAAGGAGAGGAUUUGAAAAGGAUGUUAGAUGUUGGUCAUACUACUCUCCAAUUUUUCCA